AUAAUGUUAUGUUGCAGCAUCGGUAGAUCAAGGGAAAUUUUUGUUGGCAGCUAGAAGGUUUAGGCACGAAGCACAUAUUGAGUAUAUAAUCUCUCUUGAUGCUAAUGACUUGUCCUAAGGAAGUAAUGCAUAUGUCGGAAAGUUGAGUGCUGCAGAAAGCUAUUGUUUUAAGGAAGCAAUUGUCACCUGCAAUCCUUCACACUCACAGAUCUGAUUUACCAAAAUGGAAGCCAGCUGUUAUUGGAUUACUCUGUUGUCCACAGUUUUGACCUGAAAUAAAUGAAAUGAUACGCAAUUCCAGUUGCGCCCCGACUAAGGUGAGGUUGGCUGAUCUUAAAAAAAUAAAACAGUGUGAUUCUUCAGACACAAUACUUCUUAUGCUUAGAAGAAUGUAAUAGAGUUUUCCAUUUCUUGUUUGAUUUUAUGAAAGUUGUAUUGGAUCAAUUAAUUAUGGUUGAUACUGUUAAUUUUUGCAAAAGGUGGGCCUCUCAUGCACAACUUUAUCAGGCCAUGCAUAUAUUCCAUCAAACAUUUUAUAUUUCCUUAGUAGUUGAUUGACCCUCCAAGUCCAAAAGUAAAAUA
Long non-coding RNA from Magnolia sinica, 582 nucleotides. RefSeq lists it as uncharacterized. NCBI's taxonomy places the organism in Eukaryota, Viridiplantae, Streptophyta, Magnoliopsida, Magnoliales, Magnoliaceae. The transcript is spliced from 3 exons. The record is from RefSeq and is a predicted model, not a curated record.